RNAcentral lists this ribosomal RNA (567 nucleotides) under uncultured Glomeromycotina. RNAcentral's name for it is "SSU rRNA". It matches the Rfam family "Eukaryotic small subunit ribosomal RNA", at positions 550 to 1125 of the family's 1831-position model. Lineage: Eukaryota; Fungi; Glomeromycota. The record is from RNAcentral.
UUGGAGGGCAAGUCUGKUGCCAGCAGCCGCGGUAAUUCCAGCUCCAAUAGCGUAUAUUAAAGUUGUUGCAGUUAAAAAGCUCGUAGUUGAACUUCGGGGUCUACCCAUUGGUCAGGCUUAAUUGUCUGCACUGGUGAGAUGGAUCUCUACCUUCUGAGGAACUUUCAUGCCAUUUAUUUGGUGUGGUUGGAAAUCAGGACUGUUACUUUGAAAAAAUUAGAGUGUUUAAAGCAGACUAUCGUCUGAAUACAUUAGCAUGGAAUAAUGAAAUAGGACGGACUGAUUCUAUUUCGUUGGUUUCUAGGAUCACCGUAAUGAUUAAUAGGGAUAGUUGGGGGCAUUAGUAUUCAAUUGUCAGAGGUGAAAUUCUUGGAUUUAUUGAAGACUAACUACUGCGAAAGCAUUUGCCAAGGAUGUUUUCAUUAAUCAAGAACGAAAGUUAGGGGAUCGAAGACGAUCAGAUACCGUCGUAGUCUUAACCAUAAACUAUGCCGACUAGGGAUCGGACGAAGUUAAUUUUAUAAUGACGCGUUCGGCACCUUACGGGAAACCAAAGUGUUUGGGUUC